UACAGAGGAUGCAAGCGUUGUUCGGAAUCACUGGGCUUAAAGGGUGUGUAGGCGGACUGGAAGGUGUUUUGUGAAAUCCCUCAGCUCAACUGAGGAAUGGCUUGGCAAACCACCAGUCUUGAGGCCAGUAGAGGUACCUGGAACUUUGGGUGGAGCGGUGAAAUGCGUAGAUAUCCAAGGGAACGCCAAUGGUGAAAACAGGGUACUGGGCUGGUUCUGACGCUGAGGCACGAAAGCGUGGGGAGCAAACAGG
This 253-nucleotide ribosomal RNA is filed under the name uncultured bacterium. Its description in RNAcentral is "partial 16S ribosomal RNA". It matches the Rfam family "Bacterial small subunit ribosomal RNA", at positions 524 to 776 of the family's 1533-position model. The record is from RNAcentral.